Zonotrichia albicollis (white-throated sparrow) is the source of this 1714-nucleotide long non-coding RNA. RefSeq lists it as uncharacterized. Lineage: Eukaryota; Metazoa; Chordata; Aves; Passeriformes; Passerellidae. The record is from RefSeq and is a predicted model, not a curated record.
UUUGGCUUUAACGUUGCAGCAAGUUGGGAGAUACUUGCCUAUACAAAAUCAGAGCCCAGCUGAGUUCACUGGAGUCUGUGUGGGCAGCCACUGAGCCACACACCUUAAAUCCUGGAAGGAUUCACUCCCAAACAAGAGGACGAAAGGUGAAAAUCAGAUGUGACAACUGUUUCACCAGGGACUUUGGGAGCUCUGGAUUGAAGGAGUGUCACUGCAUGGAGAAUUUUUCCAGUGAGAGAUUGUCCUAUAUUCUCACCUAAAAAAAAAGCCUUACUAAAUGAACAAUAUUUUUAAGUAAUGCUGUGAAAAGAUACAUGGAAUUCUUUUGUUUUAUAUCAUCAAGGUGCUGGCCAGAUCUGACACAAAAAACAAUAAUUUGUGCCAGAUGAUUGAAGAGCAGCUUUGCAGUUUUCUUCCCUGAUUCAUGUUUCCAAGACUACCCCUGGAUUUGCCUCUGUUUCUGACCAGUUUUCCUGUCAGCUUCCAAGGGAAGAUGAAAACCUGGUGCUCAAACCUCAACAAACAAGGCACGCUCACAGCAGUCAGGAGUUUGAAUCCCUGCAGCAGGUGGGCAGUUUGGCUGCUGAAGAAGUGAUGAAAGAGCUGAGGAACUGCAAAAGAUAUUAAGAAUUGUUCAGAUCUUAGGCAGUUGUAAAGGCUCACUCUUGCUCUCAAAUAAUUUCAGCAGCACAUUAAAUUCUGGAAUCCAUGGCUUACAGUAACUUAUUCCUGUCAAGACACAGUACCAGGCACUACAGAGAGGGCCCAGGAAAUAAAAGACAAAAGGACUAUUUGUGUAUUGCUUACAGUUUAGUUUCUUCCCAACUCCCUUAGGAUCUUUUCCUUUUAUAAUUAUUAAGUUGUCACUUCAUUACUAAUGUAAGUUUUCUGCAUGCUUUUGAACUUGGUCUUUGUUCUACGUGACACUGGCUGAACACACAGUAUUGGGGAUGUAUUCCUUGGGGUUUAAUUUACUCUCACCAUGCUUCUCCUGGUUCUCAUAGUAGAAGAAAGAUGAUCAGGGAUUUGCCAUCUAAAAAAAAGUCUUAUAUUUAAAUUCAAAACAAUGCAGUUUGUGGGAUUAGGACUGAUAAUGUAAAUUGGAACUGUGUUGCCUCAGAAAAGUCUUCUCUCUUACAGACAACUUGAACAAGGUCCUGUUAAUGAAGUACAAAUUAUAAGCAUUUCUGGUUACUCUCUGUAUUCUACAGACAUGAGAACCUUCUCAGUUUCUCUGGCAGACAUCCAAAGAUUAAUUCAGACACUUAUAUAUAUCUGUAUAGCUGAUAGACCAUAAUAUUCUUCCCUCUUUAAACCUCUCAUUUUGAAAGAUGAAGCCUGAAUUCUAUAUCUGAGAUAAGCCUAUUUAAUUAGUUUGGCACUCUACUAUGUGUGGGCAGAGGAAUUCUAUUUGUUUUGCUGAAGUACCACACUUCCUUUUCACAUAAGCUGAGAAUGCAAUGCCAUUAACUUUUCUUCCUAUAAAUUGUGUAACUAAAUACCUCGUUAAUUUCGUUAGGAGAAUAAAUGAAGAUGUAUGGCAAUACCCUUUCUGGAGGAGAAACUGCACCAAAACAGUCUGCCUGCAAAACGUAUGUUUGUAAACACUGGAUCACAUUCUCAACCAUGCAGUUUCAUUGACUUUGAUUAAUAAAGAUCUGGUCUAUCAGUUUUCUCUCAGAUAAAUACAAAUGAACUCUUCCUUGUGUCUCAA